Molecule: ribosomal RNA, 398 nt
Filed under: uncultured bacterium
Lineage: Bacteria
Description: partial 16S ribosomal RNA
Rfam family: Bacterial small subunit ribosomal RNA
Source: RNAcentral
UGGGGAAUAUUGCACAAUGGGCGCAAGCCUGAUGCAGCCAUGCCGCGUGUGUGAAGAAGGCCUUCGGGUUGUAAGCACUUUCAGCGAGGAGGAAGGUGGUGAACUUAAUACGUUCAUCAAUUGACGUUACUCGCAGAAGAAGCACCGGCUAACUCCGUGCCAGCAGCCGCGGUAAUACGGAGGGUGCAAGCGUUAAUCGGAAUUACUGGGCGUAAAGCGCACGCAGGCGGUUUGUUAAGUCAGAUGUGAAAUCCCCGGGCUCAACCUGGGAACUGCAUUUGAAACUGGCAAGCUAGAGUCUCGUAGAGGGGGGUAGAAUUCCAGGUGUAGCGGUGAAUGCGUAGAGAUCUGGAGGAAUACCGGUGGCGAAGGCGGCCCCCUGGACGAAGACUGAGCGC